Molecule: ribosomal RNA, 1442 nt
Filed under: uncultured organism
Description: bacterial SSU rRNA
Rfam family: Bacterial small subunit ribosomal RNA
Source: RNAcentral
CGUGCUUAAUACAUGCAAGUCGUACGAGAAAGUAGUCUCGGCUGGCGAGUAAAGUGGCGAACGGGUGAGUAACACGUGGACAAUCUGCCCUUGAGUCUGGGAUAAUCCCCCGAAAGGGGGUCUAAUACCGGAUGAUACCAUCGAAUGGCAUCAUUUGAUGUUCAAAGGCGGGGCAACCUGCCGCUUGGGGAUGAGUCCGCGCCUCAUUAGCUUGUUGGCGGGGUAACGGCCCACCAAGGCGACGAUGGGUAGCCGGCCUGAGAGGGUGAUCGGCCACACUGGGACUGAGAUACGGCCCAGACUCCUACGGGAGGCAGCAGUAGGGAAUAUUGCGCAAUGGACGCAAGUCUGACGCAGCAACGCCGCGUGGGUGAUGAAGCAUCUUGGUGUGUAAAACCCUGUCAGUGGGGAAGAAACGUGCUGGUAGUUACUGACCGGCACCUGACGGUACCCACAGAGGAAGCACCGGCUAACUCCGUGCCAGCAGCCGCGGUAAUACGGGGGGUGCAAGCGUUGUUCGGAUUUACUGGGUGUAAAGGGCGUGUAGGCGGGCCUUCAAGUCGGGUGUGAAAACCUCGGGCUUAACCCGGGGCCUGCACUCGAUACUGGAGGCCUUGAGUACAGGAGAGGAAAGCGGAAUUCCAGGUGUAGCGGUGAAAUGCGUAGAUAUCUGGAAGAACACCAGUUGCGAAGGCGGUCUCCUGGACCAAUACUGACGCUGAUGCUCGAAAGCUGGGGGAGCGAACAGGAUUAGAUACCCUGGUAGUCCCAGCCGUAAACGAUGGACACUAGUUGCCGGAGGAGUCAAUCCCUUCGGUGACGAAGCUAACGCAUUAAGUGUCCCGCCUGGGGAGUACGCUCGCAGGGGUGAAACUCAAAGGAAUUGACGGGGGCCCGCACAAGCGGUGGAGCAUGUGCUUUAAUUCGAUGCAACGCGAAGAACCUUACCUGGGUUUGACAUGGGGGUGAAAGUUUCCAGAGAUGGAAGCCUUUCCUUCGGGAACACCCCACACAGGUGCUGCAUGGUUGUCGUCAGCUCGUGUCGUGAGAUGUUGGGUUAAGUCCCGCAACGAGCGCGACCCCUGCCCUUAGUUGCCAUCAGGUAAAGCUGGGAACUCUAAGGGGACAGCUUGGUAUAACCAGGAGGAAGGUGGGGAUGACGUCAAAUCAUCAUGGCUCUUACGCCCAGGGCUAGACACGUGCUACAAUGGCAGGUACAGUGGGAUGCCAGCCUGCGAAGGUGAGCUAAUCCCUUAAAACCUGUCUCAGUCCGGAUUGGAGUCUGCAACUCGACUCCAUGAAGUUGGAAUCGCUAGUAAUCGCGGAUCAGCAUGCCGCGGUGAAUACGUUCCCGGGCCUUGUACACACCGCCCGUCAAGCCAUGAAAGGCGGUAGUACCCGAAGUCGCGUACCCAACCGUAAGGAGGGAAGCGCCGAAGGUA